UCGAACGGCAGCACGAGAUAAGCUUGCUUAUCUUGGUGGCGAGUGGCGAACGGGUGAGUAACGUAUCGGAACGUGCCCAGUAGCGGGGGAUAACUACGCGAAAGCGUGGCUAAUACCGCAUACGCCCUACGGGGGAAAGGGGGGGAUUCUUUUAGAACCUCUCACUAUUGGAGCGGCCGAUAUCAGAUUAGCUAGUUGGUGGGGUAAUGGCCUACCAAGGCCGCGAUCUGUAGCUGGUUUGAGAGGACGACCAGCCACACUGGGACUGAGACACGGCCCAGACUCCUACGGGAGGCAGCAGUGGGGAAUUUUGGACAAUGGGGGCAACCCUGAUCCAGCCAUCCCGCGUGUGCGAUGAAGGCCUUCGGGUUGUAAAGCACUUUUGGCAGGGAAGAAAAGGCGCGGGUUAAUACCCUGCGCCGCUGACGGUACCUGCAGAAUAAGCACCGGCUAACUACGUGCCAGCAGCCGCGGUAAUACGUAGGGUGCAAGCGUUAAUCGGAAUUACUGGGCGUAAAGCGUGCGUCGGCGGUUUGGCAAGAAAGGUGUGAAAUCCCAGGGCUUAACCUUGGAACUGCACUUUUAACUGCCAGGCUAGAGUAUGUCAGAGGGGGGUAGAAUUCCCCGUGUA
RNAcentral lists this ribosomal RNA (631 nucleotides) under uncultured bacterium. RNAcentral describes it as "bacterial SSU rRNA". It matches the Rfam family "Bacterial small subunit ribosomal RNA", at positions 62 to 677 of the family's 1533-position model. The record is from RNAcentral.